CUCUUGUGCCAAUUUGAACCAUGAAAGAAAGAAGGCAGAGAAACAUGCAUAUCUUCAUUGCAAAAUCAGCACCAAAAUAUGAAUUAUCAUGUGAGUUUCAAAGGAUUUUUAAUCCCUCUUGGACACCAGGGCUCUCACCUGUCUGCAAAAUGCAUCAUCUCAAACAAUUCAACUUCUUGACCCAACAACAUGAUGGAAGGAAGAGGAUCAUUUUCCAUUUUGUGGCCAAAAUCCUCUACACAUUUCUAAAAGUUCAUCCAUAAGAUCCAAAAUGAGGAACUGCAAUUGUAUGUCCACAUACAGGGAAAAAAAUUAAACUAAAGGAGAUUUUGGCUUUAGUGGGCUCUAUUUCACAUAAUACAACAUAAUCUUUUUGGAGUCAGCACUCAGCUUCAGGGAUCUGGUUCAGCUGGAAAAGUGUUUUUGUGAUUUUGUGGCUGCAGUUAACAACAAAUCCAAAAAAGAAUCAUCUUGUGAGAAAUACUUGGCUAGAAAGUGUGAUAAAUAUCAUAUACUCCCUGCAUGGCUGUGGCAGUCAUGGGAUUCUGACAGAGCAGGGCAUGAAUUUAGAGAUAACAAAUGGAAAGGUGUCUGAAUAUUCCAGCAGCCUUCCUCCUGGUCUGCUGGUGAAGAUGGCCCAGAAAGAAAACUGUUCAGCCUUUGAAAUUCUCUGCAAACACAUUCCUUUAGUGCACAUAAAGAUUUAAAUCUUACAUUUGGAACCUGCACCAUGAAAGUCAGAGACGACAAAAAAUCCUAACCUUUCCAAAGUGAUUUAGGGAUUUACACAUCUUCUUCUGGUGCAAACUGGAGUCAUUCCACUGACUGACUGGUUUGAUGAGGAAUCCUGUAAAAGAACAAGCUAAAGACAAACAUGAAGCAAAACAAAACUAGAAAUUCUUGGCACUUGGGGAUUUGUGUUGGCCAAAUGACGAGACUGAAUCCCAGAAUCUCUGUUUGGAAAGGAUAUGAAGUCAUUGUUCAAAUGUGCACAUAAACUGGAUCUAGAGGGAUAAGAUUAAAAAAAUUUACAGAGUUCAGUCUCAUAAAACUAUCAAUUAUAC
Molecule: long non-coding RNA, 1064 nt
Filed under: Cyanistes caeruleus (blue tit)
Lineage: Eukaryota; Metazoa; Chordata; Aves; Passeriformes; Paridae
Description: lncRNA (ENSCCEG00000018730.1)
Source: RNAcentral